RNAcentral lists this ribosomal RNA (253 nucleotides) under uncultured bacterium. RNAcentral describes it as "partial 16S ribosomal RNA". It matches the Rfam family "Bacterial small subunit ribosomal RNA", at positions 524 to 776 of the family's 1533-position model. The record is from RNAcentral.
UACGUAGGUGGCAAGCGUUGUCCGGAUUUACUGGGCGUAAAGAGCGCGCAGGCGGUCGUUCAAGUCGCGUGUGAAAGCCCCCGGCUCAACUGGGGAGGGUCACGCGAUACUGAUCGACUCGAAGGCAGGAGAGGGUAGUGGAAUUCCCGGUGUAGUGGUGAAAUGCGUAGAUAUCGGGAGGAACACCAGUGGCGAAGGCGACUACCUGGCCUGUUCUUGACGCUGAGGCGCGAAAGCUAGGGGAGCAAACUGG